Long non-coding RNA from Suricata suricatta (meerkat), 673 nucleotides. RefSeq lists it as uncharacterized. The record is from RefSeq and is a predicted model, not a curated record. Lineage: Eukaryota; Metazoa; Chordata; Mammalia; Carnivora; Herpestidae. The transcript has 3 exons.
AGGUUUAACCCAGAAGAAUUUAGCUAAACAGUUUGAUUUCCCUAUUUCUUUGGAUGAAGCUUCAAAAGUAAUGAAGAAAAAGAAAAAGGUUUUAGUGUGGAAUAAAGUAUACAAAGUCAUUUCUAGAAUGCUUGAAGAAAACGAAAAAUAUAGACUCAGGCUGAAGUACCAACAACUAUCCAGUGAAAAUAAGUUAACACAAUUUUGAUUGUAUGAAAGACGACUGGCUUUCCUAACAGGGUUAACCUAUCUUUGGAUCUGUUUACCAAAGAAGACUGUGAAGAGUUGAAAGAUGGAACUUAAUAGUGAAUCAUAAUUAUAUGUUAAUUUUGGUGUGUUUUGUUGGAAGUGAGACUUUAAUAGUUUAAUAGAAAAACCACUUUCUUUGUAAAUUAAUAGUAUUUAUUUGCAGAUUAAUACAAGUUUAAUUAAAUAUUGUUAUCAUAUGCACACAAGUGUUAUGCAAGUGUUUUUUAAGUGUGCAUUAGUACUUAUUCUGUAUUCCUUUAAAUUAAUCUUAUACACAAAAAUUUAAAUUGACACGGCAAUACAAUUGCCGGCUUUUAUAUUUGCCAACUUUUCCUUUUAAUUAAUGAGUCUGCAACCACCACUUUAUUCAUUCCUCAUUUAUAUAUAACUGCUUUAAAUUAAACUUUGACUCAUUUAAAAAUUU